Exaiptasia diaphana is the source of this 287-nucleotide long non-coding RNA. RefSeq lists it as uncharacterized. The transcript is spliced from 4 exons. The record is from RefSeq and is a predicted model, not a curated record. NCBI's taxonomy places the organism in Eukaryota, Metazoa, Cnidaria, Anthozoa, Actiniaria, Aiptasiidae.
AUAGCAGUUUCAUCAAAUUAUUCAACAUUGAAGAUCAAGAAUUAAUAGCGAUAGGCGUAGUAAAGUAGAAAUAACACCCAAGUGUAUGAUAACUCAGACGGAAAUUUGAAAUCAAGAAACAAAACCAUCCAAAUCAUUUCAGUUUCAGGAAAUAAAUCCACCUUUGCAUGACUUAGCCGCCAGCUUAUCGAGUCCGAAAAUAAUGAGGACGAUGGCGACAACAUAGUUUUCAAAGAAGAGAUGGCUAUGGCAAGUCCUGAUAAGUUUAGCAAAGAACAAUUGAACUA